This 301-nucleotide ribosomal RNA is filed under the name uncultured bacterium. RNAcentral's name for it is "partial 16S ribosomal RNA". It matches the Rfam family "Bacterial small subunit ribosomal RNA", at positions 509 to 807 of the family's 1533-position model. The record is from RNAcentral.
CAGCAGCCACGGUAAUACGAAGGGGGCUAGCGUUGCUGGGAAUCACUGGGCGUAAAGGGUGCGUAGGCGGGUCCUUAAGUCAGGGGUGAAAUCCUGGAGCUCAACUCCAGAACUGCCUUUGAUACUGAAGAUCUUGAGUUCGGGAGAGGUGAGUGGAACUGCGAGUGUAGAGGUGAAAUUCGUAGUUAUUCGCAAGAACACCAGUGGCGAAGGCGGCUCACUGGCCCGAUACUGACGCUGAGGCACGAAAGCGUGGGGAGCAAACAGGACUAGAUACCCGCGUAGUCCCUGUCUCUUAUAC